GGUCUUUAAAGCUCCCUGAACGGGCUUUUCCUUGAACUUCCGGUCUCUGUGGGCGCCCUUCCCUCCCACAGUCUCCGUACCUGGUGGUUCUUGGCGUGAUGAGACUUCCAGGACUAUGUGAAAUCAGUUAUGCAAACUGGGCCUUCGUGGAAUCAUCUGAACGAUGGCUGAGUCCCCAGACUUCAGGGCUUUGGGAUUGUCUUCGAGCUUCUUGCCUGAGCGCCGGUCAAUCUUCUCCCUGAGGUCUGCAAACUUGCAGGCAAUGUGGGCCGUGUGGCAGUCCAGGACUGGCCUUCACCUCCUUGCUGAUCUCCUCAAAGCGUGCGCUACUGUAAGGAGGCUCCGUGAUGUCCAUCUUAUUGACUGCCACGAUGAGCUGCUUCACACCCAGCGUAUAGGCCAGCAGUACAUGCUCACGGGUCUGCCCAUCCUUGGAGAUGCCAGACUCAAACUCACCUACACCACUGGCCACAAUCAGCACAGCACAGUCUGCCUGGCCCAAGUGACAGACAGAAGAAGGCCCAACUCAGACUUGGCCAGGGACACCCACUGCCCACCCCUGCAGCAGAGCCAAGACGACUCCGGUGGUACCUGUGAGGUCCCUGUGAUCAUGUUCUUGAUGAAGUCACGGUGACCUGGGGCAUCGAUGACGGUGAUGUAAUAUUUUUUGGUCUCAAACUUCCACAGGGAGAUGUCAAUGGUGAUGCCCCGUUCCCGUUCUGCCUUCAGCUUGUCCAGCACCCAGGCAUACUUGAAGGAGCCUUUGCCCACCUGGGCCGGGAGCAGGAGGGAAAGCCCCAGGGUCACCCCUAUAUCCAAAGCUGCCCAUCAACCAGGAAGGAAGUUACGAAAGAGUUGAGAGUCAGAGGGAUGGUAACAGGACUGUGUAUGGAGAGACCUUUGAAUAUUUCAAACAACAUAAUUUAUUACUUGUAUAAUUAAGUUUGUCUUUCAGCGCUGGUUUGGGAGUCAGAGUGACCCAGGGCCAAAUGACAAAGUGCCUAGGCAAGCAUGUGGACCUCCUGGCAGAGGGUCAGCAAGCCCUCAAAUCAGUAAUAGCGAACAUCUUUAGUUCCUGAGAUAUGGCAUGGCAUCUGUGUCACACUGGUACUUAAACCUUGGCACCAUCCUCAGGCAAGCUGUUUUACCCUUCUGAGCCUCAUUUGUCUCACCUGGAAAAUGACAGCCAUCACCUGCCUGACAUGAUUGAGAGGGAAAGCACCUACCAGCCCAGCAGGUGCUCAGCGGAAGUGAGCAGUCUCCUCCCCGACAAUGAGAUGAGAUGCCCUGUCGUGGUGGACUUGCCCGAAUCCACAUGGCCGAUGACCACAAUGUUGAUGUGGGUCUUCUCUUUGCCCAUGCUGGGAGCUGCUCAGAGAGAGGACAGCCGCCUGCAUCAGCCUGACCCGUGGCAAACCCUGAGUUUGGUGAAUGAAGCAGAAUGACUGCUGCCACCUUCAGGGCUUGACUCCUGUACGCAUCGUCACCUUUAUGCCACUGCUAACUCUACCUGAGCGCUGAGGGAACUGAGGCUCAGGAGCUGGGAAGAAAGUAGCAGGACUCAAGCUGUCUGACCGCAGAGUCUCCACCAGAGCCCAGCGCUGCCUCCCAGUGAACUCAUGCCCGAAGGAAGGGAUGUGAGUCCGACCCUGCUCAUUUCUGGGGUCCCAGCCUCCAGCCCUGGCUUGCUGAAUGAAUGUUUAGGGUAGGACCUGGGAAGAAGAUGAGGGCGGGGAAGGGGGGGCAGUCUCCCACACGGAAGGGCUGGCCGCAGAAUUGAGGACAAGCUACUGGACUGUAGUCUGAGGCUAGUACAGUGCUGGCAGCCUCCAGAGGUUCUGGAACCACCCACACAUCAGUUCCUGAGGACCAGGCUCUGUGUCUGGAGACCAGAUAGAUGCAGGGAAAGGUGGCGGAGAGAAUAGGCUUCUGAGAAGGCUGACCUAAUCAGAUCGGAGUCCUGGCUAUGCGGCUCUCACUCAGUGGUCCUUGAGCCACUCAGUGGUCCUUGAGCCCCUCCGGGCCUGGGUGGCCACCAACUUCUUGGUGUUGUGGUGAUUCAAGGAGAUAAGCCCCCUCCCUCAUAAAUCUUGAUGGUACUGAUAAUUGGUCCUUUAAAGAACUUAUGACAAAGUGGAAACACACGGGGGCGCUCUAACCACAAACCGCAGGUUAACAUGUUCUUAGAACCUGGGCAGUUAGUUGGGAGCUGGGGACAGCCAGAGGGCUAUUAUCACAGUGCUGUGCUGAUCACACUGACCAGCUCUGGCCCUUCCUCUUCCGAUACAGGUGGCGGUAGAGAAAUGAUUUGUGAGUGGUUGGAUCAUGUAGCUAAGUUCACCUUCAUCUAAGCUUUGUUUUUCACUCAUUAUUUGGCAUCUUCGUGGUUAACAGUUCCUUAGCUGUAAGUCCCACAAGUUCCUAAGAGGCAAAGUGAGGCUCUUGGGAUCGUUGUGUUUAUCGCCCAUCCCCGGACGUUCAGCUCCUGCUUCUGUGUAUCUGUGGAGCGUUGGGAAGGAAACUGGUUUUGGGAUCCAAAGACCAGGUGAGUCAGCUCUGCCACUUCAUGGCUUGCUCCCCCUUCCUCCACCUCCUCUUCAUUCUCACCGGGCCAGCCUUGCUCUCCCUCUCUUCUUGCAGGACAGGGGAGCUUCCUCCCCACGCCAGCCGGUCCGCAGCAGCCCCACAAGUGUGUAUAGUCCAGAAGGUUCCCAAUGCACGGAAGGGCACUCGGGAGCCAGGUCUGAGGGACAACCAGAGUCUAGAGACCACACAGAGUCACCAGGGUUCUAAAGGAAGGGGUACAAGGAGGGGGUGAGUGGGGGCAGAGGGAGAGUGCUAAGGGAUCCUGAGCCAUGUAAAGAGACAGCCCAGGGGCGCCUGGGUGGCUCAGUUGUUAGGUGUCUACCUUCGGCUCGGGUCAUGAUCCUAGGGUCCUGGGACCGAGCCCCGCAUCGGGCUCCUUGCUCAGCGGGAAGCCUGCUUCUCCCUCUCCCCCUGCUUGUGUUGCCUUUCUCGCUGUGUCUCUCUCUGUCAAAUAAAUAAAAUCUUCAAGAAAAAAAAGAGCCAGCCCAGAAGAAGGCUUUGGAACCAGAGACACCUGAGUGUGAAUCCUGGCCUCAACACUUAACAGCUACGGGGGAUUUGAUGUCUACUCCUUUCCUGAGCGAUCAGAAGGCUUCAAGCUGUAGGACGAUCCUGUCCAAUAUGGUAGUCACUACCCACAUGUGGUGACUUAAAUUUAGAUUAAUUAAACUUAAGUAAAAUUUAAAAUUCAGUUCCUCGACUACGACAGCCACAUGUGAUUGGGCCAUGGUGCCAGGAGCUCUGGUUCCAGCUCUGUCACUGAUUGCCCAGACUGCCUCAGACAAACACAUACCUCUGGACCUCAUUCCUUCUCUAUAAAAUGCGGGCAGAGGUUAAACGAGGUAAUGCAUGAAGGUCUUUUAAGGUCUGACCUUCUGGGGUCAGUUCUGGGAGCUCUGGAUUCAAUUUCUGGUCACCUCUCCCCUAAUCCCUCUGAAAACUCAAGCUUCUCAGCUGGCGCUGCUAUAAAGAGGAGUUUUGGUGAACUCAUUGGCCCUCUGGCAGUUACUGUGUAUUUCUUAAGGGACAGCAUCUGAUUGGAUGUGGCCAAAUCUGGGCCAAUCAAAAUCUCCCUAACCAGAUCCUGGUUUGGGGAUUUAGGGUCAGUUAGUGAGUCUCUACGUGUGGUAGAGACUGUAAUGGGGAGAAGUAGUUGGUGGUGGCUACAGUGGUGGAGAAAGCCGGUCUAGAGGGAGAUAGGGACACAGCAGACCUUCAGGGAGAAACAGGGAGAAGGAUCCCCAUUUCAGGCUCUUGGAAUCUUUGAGACACCGCUGAGUCUUUGUAAUAAAUUCUCCCCACUUCCUUCUUUUCUAUUAAGUUCCAGUUAAUUUCCAGUGCUUGUCACCAAAGUCUCCUAACCCUUGUGGGUUAAGGUAAAGGGGCUUGGUUUAUUGUUGUUCUGAAAAGUUGAGUGAUCUUUCAGCUGAAAGAAAGAGAAAGCUAAACAAGGACAUCUCCCACACGUAGACACCAAGAACAAACUGAAAGAAAAAUGAUCAUCAGUUAUUAGUUUGACACAUGUUUCUUGAGCACCUUAUGCUGUGCCCAGUGCCUUAUAUGGAUUACUUUAUCUAAUCUUCACAAAAACCCUUGAGAGAUAAUGCUUUCCCCAUUUCAGAGGGAAUUGAGACACUGAGAGGUUAAGGGACUCAUGCAAGGACACACAGCUGGUCAGUGGCAGAGACCUGGUACAUCAGGGCUUGGUGAGAUGACAAGUGGGGUCUUAGCUGCAUAAGCACAGCUUGUGAGUGAGGAGGUUUCCUGGGUGGGGACCCACUUGGCCCAGAGAGUAAAGCAAGCCAGAAAGAUCAUAUGAGGUGUGACUCAGUUUUUCUGGCUACAAAGAACACAGCCACCUUUCUACAGUUUGAAGUGGGGAACGGUAGAUUGGAGAGGAAAAUCCUCUAAAAUGAAAACACUUGUAUUCUCAGUAUCUUUUGUUUUCCACCUUCUUUUCUCUUAUAAAUAAGCCUUCCCAGAAUGAGUAAAAAUUAUUCCUCUCUUAACUCCGUGGAAAGCGUUAGAGGGGGUAGGAGAGGGAAAAUCAGUCCCCAAAUCUGUUCUGGAAUCCAGAUGUUUACUUUGUAGUUCCAUCACCUUCAUAUACAAAGAUCUGUUAUAAAACAGUAAAAAGAGGCCCUGCCAACACACAAAUAGGCAAAUAGCCAAUAAACCAAGAAAGAAUAUCCAACAUUUUGAGGAAUGAAAGAAAAGCAAAUUGAAGCAACGUACCAUUUUUUUACCUUUCAGGUUUUCGAGCAAAAAAAAAAAAAAAACUAUGAAAAACGUUGUUGGAGAAGAUAUGGAAAAAUGGUCACUUUCAUACUUCAUUGAUGGGAGUUUCAGUCAACGUAUACUUUCUACAGGGCAUUUUGAAAAUAUGAAUCCAAAGCCUUAAAAUAUGCAUUCUUUUUAUUCAAUUUAAUUCUAGGUAUUUAUCAAAAGGAGGUACAAUUAUGGGGGUAUUCUUUCUAGAAUUAUUUAUAACAAUGAAAGGGUCUCUGGUGUGGGCUGAGGCUGCCAGGGUGCUGGGGACACUCACAGGGUUUAGGGCAGCUGCUAUGUAUCAACUGAAGGAGAAAUAUUUCCACAGUUUACCAAUUGUACCAUCAUACUGCCUACCUGUAAUGCUGGUUUUAAAAACUAAAAAACAGGGCGCCUGGGUGGCUCAGUCGUUAAGCGCCUGCCUUCGGCUCAGGUCAUGAUCCUGGAGUCCCGGGAUCGAGUCCCGCAUCGGGCUCCCUGCUCGGCGGGGAGUCUGCUUCUCCCUCUGACCCUCCCUCUCAUGCUCUCUGUCUCUCAUUCUCUCUGUCUCAAAUAAAUAAAUAAAAUCUUAAAAAAAAAAAACUAAAAAAUUUCUAUGCCUACCGUGGGGCUCGAGUCACAACCCCGAGAUCAAGAGUCACAGACUCAAGGGUUGCUGGAGGGGUGGGGGGUGGAGGGAAUGGGGUAACUGGGUGAUGGGCAUUAAGGAGGUCACGUGAGGUACUGAGCACUGGGUGUUAUAUGCAACUGAUGAACCGCUGAACUCUAACUCUGAAACUAAUACUAUAUGUUAAUCAGUUUAAGUAAAGUAAAUUUUACGUUUAAAUAAAAUAAAUUUAAGCAAAAUAAAAUUUAAAAAAAGAGAGACACAGACUCUACUGACUGAGCCAGCCAGGUGCCCCUAAAACAAUUUUUUAAAGAUUUUAUUUAUUUAUUUGAGAAAGAGAGAGGACAAGUGAGAGGAGGAGCAGAGCGAGAGGGACAAGCAGACUCGGUGCUGAGCUCAGAGCCCGACUCAGGGCUCCAUUUCAGGACCCUGAGACCAUGACCUGGCCGGAAAUCAAGAGUUGGGUGCUUGGGACGCCUGGGUGGCUCAGUCGUUGAGCGUCUGCCUUGGGCUCAGGUCAUGAUCCCAGGGUCCUGGGAUCGAGCCCCACAUCGGGCUCCCCGCUCAGCAGGAAGCCUGCUUCUCCCUCUCCCACUCCCCCUGCUUGUGUUCCCUCUCUCGCGGUGUCUCUCUCUGUCAAAUAAAUAAAUAAAAUCUUAAAAAAAAAAAAAAAAAGCAGUCAUAGGGGUGCCUGUGUGGUUCAGUCGUUAAGCAUCUGUCUUCAGCUCAGGUCAUGGUCCCAGGGUCCUGGGAUCGAGCCCCGCAUCAGGCUCCCUCCUUGGCGGGAAGCCUGCUUCUCCCCCCCUCCCACUCCCCCUGCUUGUGUUCCCUCUCUCGCUGUGUCUCUUUCUGUCAAAUAAAUAAAAUCUUUAAAGAAAAAAAAAGAGUUGGACGCUCAAAUGACAGGCGCCCCCCUAAAAAUUUUUUUAAAGGUUGUCUCUGCUUCCUCAUAAAGUUGGAGCUGGGAGCUGGGGUUUUGUUUCUCACUCUUCUGGUUGAGCACAGGUCCUGGGGCAAGAUUAUGUCAUUACUCUGAUGGAAAAUGGAAUGUAUGUGUGUUCUCAGGUUUUUAGCACGUCUUAGUUUCCAUUUCCAAUAUGGUAAAUACUGAAAGAAAUAACCCACAUAAACAAAAGAUCUGUAGGGGCUUCAAUAAUGCUUAAGAGUGUACAGGGUUCUCAAAAAGUUUGAGAACUGCUAAUCCCAACAGGUGGAUGUCAGGGUCAUUUUCAAGGUAAAACAAGUGGGGCAUGCAGAUUGCCCAGGGUCACCAACUAAUGAAGAGCGAAGCCUGCAUGCAAAUCCAGGCUUGUCUGAUCUGAAUCCUCUCUUUCCCACGACUUGCCAGGGAGACCCUCUUUCAAUACAGUGUGAUGUCUGGUGUCUGUGUGUCUCCUGGUGGGGACUCAGGCACCUUCUCAGCAGCAUCCAGCACCUGGCCCGGGGCCCCGCCCUACCUGGGAAAGCAAUGGAUGUUUGUUGACCCAGUGAAUGAAUGACCCAUUCCAAAAACACACGGUUGAAAAAUUCUCCCUUGGAGGAGGGUGAGUGCAAAGUUAACUGAACUCUUCUUGCACCCUUGGCCCUGCUCCUUUGGCCCUGUUCUUCGGCCUCAAGCUUUCUGAGAGGCUGCCAGGGACAAGAAGCCGUGGGAGCAGCAGAUGCUGGGGAAUACGGUCCCUGUCCCCAGGAGCUCCUGAACAACAGGCAAGAGAAGCCCAAAAUAUGCAGUGACAUGAGUAACAAGUGCAACCGACAAGAGGGGGAGCCUGGAGGGGCUGUGGGGGCAGGGAAGAGAGGCCCCACCUUGAUUGUGCAGGGGUGGGGCGUGUCAGGGAUGUUUCAUUUCCAAGCUGGGGUUGAAAAGGGAAUAGGCGUUGGCCAGCUGAGGAGGUAGAGAGGACAGUCCCCAGGUAGAAGAAGAGCAUGUGGAAGAGCCAGGGGACAGAGAGCCUGUGGAGCCCCCAGAGACAGGAAAGAAGAUGUUCUGGCAAGAGCCGGAGAAGUAGGUCCCAGCCACGCAGGGCCACAAGGACCAGGAACAGAGCUUAGGCAGUGGGGACCGUAUUCAUCAGCUCAGGCUGCUAUAACAAAAGACCACAGGCUCCAUAUCUUAAAGAACAGAAAUUAAUUUUCUUAGCGUUCUGGAGGCCAGAAG
Long non-coding RNA from Mirounga angustirostris (Northern elephant seal), 7619 nucleotides. RefSeq lists it as uncharacterized. The record is from RefSeq and is a predicted model, not a curated record. The transcript has 7 exons. NCBI's taxonomy places the organism in Eukaryota, Metazoa, Chordata, Mammalia, Carnivora, Phocidae.